This 460-nucleotide ribosomal RNA is filed under the name uncultured bacterium. RNAcentral's name for it is "partial 16S ribosomal RNA". It matches the Rfam family "Bacterial small subunit ribosomal RNA", at positions 338 to 795 of the family's 1533-position model. The record is from RNAcentral.
CCUACGGGCGGCUGCAGUGAGGAAUAUUGGUCAAUGGACGAGAGUCUGAACCAGCCAAGUAGCGUGAAGGAUGACUGCCCUAUGGGUUGUAAACUUCUUUUAUAUGGGAAUAAAAUGUUCCACGUGUGGGAUUUUGUAUGUACCAUAUGAAUAAGGAUCGGCUAACUCCGUGCCAGCAGCCGCGGGAAUACGGAGGAUCCGAGCGUUAUCCGGAUUUAUUGGGUUUAAAGGGAGCGUAGGUGGAUUGUUAAGUCAGUUGUGAAAGUUUGCGGCUCAACCGUAAAAUUGCAGUUGAAACUGGCAGUCUUGAGUACAGUAGAGGUGGGCGGAAUUCGUGGUGUAGCGGUGAAAUGCUUAGAUAUCACGAAGAACUCCGAUUGCGAAGGCAGUUCACUGGACUGCAACUGACACUGAGGCUCGAAAGUGUGGGUAUCAAACAGGAUUAGAUACCCUAGUAGUC